This 489-nucleotide ribosomal RNA is filed under the name uncultured bacterium. Its description in RNAcentral is "bacterial SSU rRNA". It matches the Rfam family "Bacterial small subunit ribosomal RNA", at positions 57 to 518 of the family's 1533-position model. The record is from RNAcentral.
GCAAGUCGAACGAGGUGAUUGAAAGCUUGCUUUGAGAACCGAGUGGCAAACGGGUGAGUAACGCGUAGACAACCUGCCGCAAAGAUGGGGACAACAGUCCGAAAGGACUGCUAAUACCGAAUGUUGUCAGAUUCCCGCAUGGGAGACUGAUUAAAGAUGGCCUCUACUUGUAAGCUAUCGCUUUGCGAUGGGUCUGCGUCUGAUUAGCUAGUUGGUGGGGUAACGGCCUACCAAGGCGACGAUCAGUAGCCGGUCUGAGAGGAUGAACGGCCACAUUGGAACUGAGACACGGUCCAGACUCCUACGGGAGGCAGCAGUGGGGAAUCUUCCGCAAUGGGCGAAAGCCUGACGGAGCAACGCCGCGUGAGUGAAGAAGGGUUUCGGCUCGUAAAGCUCUGUUGACGGGGACGAAUGUGCGAAAUGCGAAUAGUUUUUUGCAAUGACGGUACCCGUCGAGGAAGCCACGGCUAACUACGUGCCAGCCGCGGC